Molecule: ribosomal RNA, 998 nt
Filed under: uncultured bacterium
Lineage: Bacteria
Description: bacterial SSU rRNA
Rfam family: Bacterial small subunit ribosomal RNA
Source: RNAcentral
UGGGGAAUAUUGGGCAAUGGGGGGAACCCUGACCCAGCAACGCCGCGUGAAGGAAGAAGGCUUUCGGGUUGUAAACUUCUUUUACCAGGGACGAAGGACGUGACGGUACCUGGAGAAAAAGCCACGGCUAACUACGUGCCAGCAGCCGCGGUAAAACGUAGGCCACAAGCGUUGUCCGGAAUUACUGGGUGUAAAGGGAGCGCAGGCGGGAAGACAAGUUGGAAGUGAAAUCCAUGGGCUCAACCCAUGAACUGCUUUCAAAACUGUUUUUCUUGAGUAGUGCAGAGGUAGGCGGAAUUCCCGGUGUAGCGGUGGAAUGCGUAGAUAUCGGGAGGAACACCAGUGGCGAAGGCGGCCUACUGGGCACCAACUGACGCUGAGGCUCGAAAGUGUGGGUAGCAAACAGGAUUAGAUACCCUGGUAGUCCACACCGUAAACGAUGAUUACUAGGUGUUGGAGGAUUGACCCCUUCAGUGCCGCAGUUAACACAAUAAGUAAUCCACCUGGGGAGUACGACCGCAAGGUUGAAACUCAAAGGAAUUGACGGGGGCCCGCACAAGCAGUGGAGUAUGUGGUUUAAUUCGACGCAACGCGAAGAACCUUACCAAGUCUUGACAUCCUGCGACGCACAUAGAAAUAUGUGUUUCCUUCGGGACGCAGAGACAGGUGGUGCAUGGUUGUCGUCAGCUCGUGUCGUGAGAUGUUGGGUUAAGUCCCGCAACGAGCGCAACCCUUAUGGUCAGUUACUACGCAAGAGGACUCUGGCCAGACUGCCGUUGACAAAACAGAGGAAGGUGAGGAUGACGUCAAAUCAUCAUGCCCUUUAUGACUUGGGCUACACACGUACUACAAUGGCGUUAAACAAAGAGAAGCAAGACCGCGAGGUGGAGCAAAACUCAGAAACAACGUCCCAGUUCGGACUGCAGGCUGCAACUCGCCUGCACGAAGUCGGAAUUGCUAGUAAUCGUGGAUCAGCAUGCCACGGUGAAUACGUUCCC